UAGGGAAUCUUCGGCAAUGGGGGCAACCCUGACCGAGCAACGCCGCGUGAGUGAAGAAGGUUUUCGGAUCGUAAAGCUCUGUUGUAAGUCAAGAACGAGUGUGAGAGUGGAAAGUUCACACUGUGACGGUAGCUUACCAGAAAGGGACGGCUAACUACGUGCCAGCAGCCGCGGUAAUACGUAGGUCCCGAGCGUUGUCCGGAUUUAUUGGGCGUAAAGCGAGCGCAGGCGGCUUGAUAAGUCUGAAGUUAAAGGCUGUGGCUCAACCAUAGUUCGCUUUGGAAACUGUCAAACUUGAGUGCAGAAGGGGAGAGUGGAAUUCCAUGUGUAGCGGUGAAAUGCGUAGAUAUAUGGAGGAACACCGGUGGCGAAAGCGGCUCUCUGGUCUGUAACUGACGCUGAGGCUCGAAAGCGUGGGGAGCGAACAGGAUUAGAUACCCUGGUAGUCCACGCCGUAAACGAUGAGUGCUAGGUGUUGGAUCCUUUCCGGGAUUCAGUGCCGCAGCUAACGCAUUAAGCACUCCGCCUGGGGAGUACGACCGCAAGGUUG
This 550-nucleotide ribosomal RNA is filed under the name uncultured bacterium. RNAcentral describes it as "bacterial SSU rRNA". It matches the Rfam family "Bacterial small subunit ribosomal RNA", at positions 355 to 896 of the family's 1533-position model. The record is from RNAcentral.